AUGGGUGGAAUGGCAGAGAUUAGUAACGAUAGUAUUGUAGUGGAAGUUGGAGCAGUACUUGAUAUUAGCAACGGAACAGUUGGGAGGAUAGGAUUGAGCUGCAUCAACAUGGCCCUAUCAGAUUUCUAUUUAUCUCAUUCUCACUACAAAACUAGAAUCCAAAUCACCGUCAGGGAUUCUCAUAGAGACGUCGUCAAUGCAGCUGCACAUGCGUUGGAGGCUCUUGGAAGGUUAUCUUGGUUGUGGAGAGAUAUCCUUGCAUAA
Molecule: long non-coding RNA, 264 nt
Filed under: Vicia faba (fava bean)
Lineage: Eukaryota; Viridiplantae; Streptophyta; Magnoliopsida; Fabales; Fabaceae
Source: RNAcentral